UACGAAGGGGGCUAGCGUUGCUCGGAAUCACUGGGCGUAAAGCGCGCGUAGGCGGAUUGUUAAGUCAGGGGUGAAAUCCUGGAGCUCAACUCCAGAACUGCCUUUGAUACUGGCGAUCUCGAGUCCGGAAGAGGCGAGUGGAACUCCUGGUGUAGCGGUGGAAUGCGCAGAUAUCAGGAAGAACACCAACGGCGAAGGCAGCUCGCUGGGACGGUACUGACGCUGAGACGCGAAAGCGUGGGGAGCGAACAGG
Molecule: ribosomal RNA, 253 nt
Filed under: uncultured bacterium
Lineage: Bacteria
Description: partial 16S ribosomal RNA
Rfam family: Bacterial small subunit ribosomal RNA
Source: RNAcentral